GCCAGUUAGACACAGAGUAGCUGGAGGCAAGGGUGUUGGCAGAGACUGCGUGGGGAGGGGGCGUCUGGCAUUCAGGAAACCCCAUAAACGGGCAGGUAGGGGUGGAGGGAGGAGGAAGGGGCCAGGUGUGGGAUCGCCAAGUUGUCCCAGCAUUCCAGGCCAUUCUCUUUCCUGCCCCACCUCGGCUUUUGUUUUUUUUCUUUUUUAUUGAAGCUCGGUCAGUUACAAUGUGUCAGUGUCUGGUGUACAGCGCAAUGUCCCAGCCAUGCAUAUACAUGUAUUCAUUUUCAUAUUUUUCCCAUUUAAGGUUAUUACAAGAUACCCUUUUCUUUUUACUUUAUUAAUUUUGGGGGAGAGAGUAAUUAGGUUUAUUUAUUUAUCUUUAAUGGCGGUACCGGGGCUUGAACCCAGGACCUCGUGCAUUGCAAGCAUGCACUCUACCGCUGAAGCCUCCCCACUUCUUUUUAUUCCGGACCUACAGGAAAGUUGCAUAUAGUUUAAAGCAUCUCCAGGCCAUGUUCUGCCCUACCGCAGCCUCACUCACUCAAGUCAUUUCAUCUUCUUAAAGCCAGACUCCCAGACUGUCUCCCAGGCCAUGGGCUGGUCACUCUUCCGCUUAAAGUCCACCCUCCUCCCCUGCGUGCCUGGUCCUCUACCAUCUGGCCUCAGCCCGCCCUGACUGUCAGGUGCCUUGCACCCCAUCCCAGCCCGAUCCUCCAACCCAGAUACACCCCACUGUCUCCCUCUGACUCUGAGCCCCCCCCGGAAAGGACUCCGGCCCAGGCCUUAGUAGUCUUCGCCUCCUCCCUGGUGCCUGGCAAACAGCACACAAAUGAACGCCAUCAGCAGAGAGCCAGACGGAGCAGAGCUGCUGAGACGGGGGAGAUGUUCCAUCCGGGCUGUCGCCUGGUUGGCUGAGUGGCCUAGGUGGGAAAGGAGGAAUCAGUCAAAGCCAAACUUCUGCCAGCCUCACGGAGCCUGAGCUUGUCACCAAGAACCUGUGCCUGUCCCCUUCUGCCAAGAGAUGGACCAACCCACUCCCGGGGGAAGAUCACGUGGGACAAUUCUGUGCGGGGCUCUAGGCUGUCCCCAGGAAGCUCCAGAAACUUUUUCCCCUCCAUCUGCAGGAAGCUGGCAAAGUCCCAACCCUCAGAGGGCUUCACAGAUAGUGGGAGACCUGGCCUGGACCACUGCGGGCUUAGGGAAGUGGGAACCCCUGGUUCCGGUGAUGGCCAGGGGCCCUGACUUCCCUUCCUUCCAGGAGCACAGCCCUCUGGCGGGACACCUGGGCCUCCGAAGCUUGGGAGAUGCAAGCCCGCCCCCUGGUGGUUACACGUCAUAAUCGCAGCUCAACAACCUGUCUCCACCCUCCCAGGCCUCCGGGCAAAGCCAGGCCUGGGCAGCACUGGCCAGGGGGCGGCUGGCAACCACAAUCACCUGGCUCUGAAGGCCUCAUGGCCCAGGUGAAAGGAAAGUUAUGGUUCUACAGGAGCAAAGCAGCAUGGAAGUGUCACACACAUACACAGAAAUCUCUGCCUUUUAUUCUGUUUUUAGAAAUAAGGAUACAGGUCAGUGAGGUCAAAUAACCCACUUAUAGCCGUUCAGCCUGUAAGCAUCGCUCCUGGGCCAAAUCACAUUCACCUGGUCCUAGGCGUCUGCCUCCAUCACGUAAGACAACAGGACUUGGCCGUGGCAGUUAACUGAUGCUGGACAUCAGAGUGGC
Molecule: long non-coding RNA, 1723 nt
Organism: Camelus dromedarius (Arabian camel)
Lineage: Eukaryota; Metazoa; Chordata; Mammalia; Artiodactyla; Camelidae
Exons: 2
Source: RefSeq, a predicted model, not a curated record